This is an RNA transcript of Gossypium raimondii (Peruvian cotton), 1610 nucleotides long. RefSeq lists it as uncharacterized. The record is from RefSeq and is a predicted model, not a curated record. The transcript has 3 exons. Lineage: Eukaryota; Viridiplantae; Streptophyta; Magnoliopsida; Malvales; Malvaceae.
CUCGAGGACCCGUCAGCAACUAUAUAUGCCAGAGAUAGUCUUCUCAACUCGGCUGACUCCAGUUCAAUAGCCCUGAAACUCGGUUACCAUGGACACGGGUAACGCUUCAAUGGCAAGCUUAGCCUCACAAAUAUGCAACCAUAUAGCCUCCAUCUUCUCCAAACCCAGUAUCCACCCACCAGCUUUGGACCUAAUGGUAGCAGAAUUGGCCUCCAUAGCGUCCCAAAAGGGUCGCGUUUUUCUCUAUGGUGUAGGCCGAGAGGGUUUAAUGUUGAAGGCCCUCUGUAUGCGCCUUGCUCAUUUGGGUCUCUCUGCUCACUUCGUCUUCGACAUGACUACUCCACCAAUUACUUCCAAAGACCUUCUCGUAGCAUCAGCUGGCCCUGGAGGGUUCUCCACUGUCGAUGCUAUUUGCUCGGUGGCACGGUCCCAUGGUGGUAGAGUUUUGUUGCUGACUGCCCAGCCUGAAACGGGAUCCAGUGUGAGGCAUGCAAAUGUGGUAGCGUAUGUUGCAGCCCAGACUAUGGCUGAUGAUGGCGGUGGGGAGAAAUCAAGGACAUUGCUGCCUAUGGGGAGUGUCUAUGAGGGGGCCAUGUUUGUGUUGUUUGAGAUGGUGGUUUACAAAUUGGGUGAGGUUUUGGGAGAGAGUCCUGAGGCCAUCCGAGCUCGACAUACCAAUCUUGAGUGACAAAAUCCCUGAUGUUACCAGCUCUGUGAGGAUGAGGAGUUUCAGUCUCAGGAAUUUCAUUCAUUUUCCCUCCUUAGGCUACAAAUACCAUAGCCGUGGAUUUGCUUCUCUGGAAUAGGCUGUUUUACAAAGUCAGAUUUUGCUUUGAAGAAAGAUUUCGAAAGAGCAGACUUGUGAUUCCUACCAAGUAAAGUUUCCAAUGGUGCACCGAUUGGAAACUGUUCAAAGUAUGGAUCAGAUUCAGCCCAACUCAUUUCCAAGCAAUCUUCUUUCGUUAGUCCAAGUUGAGGGAAUUUCUCUUCCAUCAAUUGAAGAAGCUUGUCGGUGCCUCCAAGAAACAUGGAACUAAAACGUGCUUGAAUUGUCAUCUUAUCAUCAUCUUUACUUGAUUUCACCCUUUCUCAUGUGGAUGCUCAUGUGUAUUUCUUUAGGAAACUUGUGUGCAACAUACUGCCACUGAUGAAUUAGUUGCGUUUUGAUCCAACAUUCUGUGAACUCUGAAAACGGUGACAUUAGCUGGAACUGGCACCGAGUUUGUUUUCCAAGCUAAGACUGCCCCAAAGCUACCUCCACCACCUCCUCGAAUGGCCCAAAACAUAUCUUCUCCCAUGGAUUUUUAUCAAGAAUUCUUCCAUUAACAUCAAUUGAGCUGUUUCGGGUUUGAGUGGAUUUACGCUCGCAGGUAUAUUUAGUCAAACAGCAUGGUAGUUGUUUGAAGAGAUUCGAUAUUGUUGUUGAGACUUGAAAAUUAGAAUAGAGUUAGCGAGGGGAUGUUGCAAGCUUGUUGUAUUAGAUAUCUCCUUUGAUCCAAUUGGAGAACCGCUAGCAAAUGUCACAAUCUGUACUUAGCUGUUGGCUAUUGCAGCUGAAAUCAUACAAAACGUAAAUAGUAACACCAGGUACUCAAAUGUUUUUGAUUCUA